Long non-coding RNA from Solanum stenotomum, 1902 nucleotides. RefSeq lists it as uncharacterized. The transcript has 2 exons. NCBI's taxonomy places the organism in Eukaryota, Viridiplantae, Streptophyta, Magnoliopsida, Solanales, Solanaceae. The record is from RefSeq and is a predicted model, not a curated record.
UCUCACCUGCAGCGUGUUCUUUUUCGUACAAGGGCCGUUGUCGAAUUAUCCAGGUGUCUCCAUCUUCUUGUCUCUUCGUCCUUUCCCUUGAAUCGGACGAUCCUCCUCUCAAAUCCGUUGAAGAAUGGUACUAUUCCAGCUCGUCUACUAUUUAUCCUUUAGGAUUUCAAAUUUCAAAUUUUGGGGAAUUCACUCAAGAUCCCUCCCGAUUCCCAGCCCUAAUUUUCCCCUAUAAAAAGCUCUCUUCUCCUCAUCUUUUAGGGGGACCGCAACUCACAUAUAGAAAAAAAUAGCUCAUAAAGGAUCCAACAUGAAAUAGAUAUAAAGAAUACAUACAAAAUACAUUGAGAGAAUAGAGAAAGAGAUUCAUCCUCUGAAACAGAGGAUAUUUUUAGAUUGGAGUUUCUUUUGCUUUUGGAAACUCAUCUUAAUCGGCUCAGAGUGGUGGAAGCGCUUCAAAGUUUCGAAUUCCAGUCUCGCUACCUUGGAAAAGGUAUGCAACCUCGUUCGUCUUACAGUUCCUCUUAAAUUUGAUUUUUGUUUGUUUGUUUAGUUGACUAUAUUGUUUUGAUAGUUCACUAGGAAUAGGGAUUUCCUCGUGUGAUUGAAACCUUGGUCGUUGGUUUGUAGAAUAUGAUCCAAGUAUGUGUGUUUGUGGAUAGUGAAUGUGGUUCGAACCGUUUUCUAGCUCAAAAGUUGUUGCUUGUUGGUUUGAUUUCUUCACUAUCCAUUCUCGUUUCUAUCAAAGUGGUGUAAAUGUGAUAAAAGCUAGACUAUUUCCCUUUUUUGUUUUGAGUUACUACUUCAAUAUAAUAGAUGUGGCUAGUCUCUAUUCUCAAGUGGCUGGAUCGUUGUUCAGGUUUAUUCGAAAUUCCGAGCUCACAUUUUAAGAUCACUUUUAUUCAUAGUUCUGCUCUUAAUUUGAUUCUUAGCUUUGCAUUUCGAAUGUUUCAGCUUUUCUUGUUCAUUAUUUGCUUCUGAGUUGAUUGGUUUGUACUAAUUCAAAGUCAUCAGUUCAUUUCUAUCAUGCCUUAGCUUCUUUUUGUGCUUCGUAUUGUUUCGAUUUGAAUAGUAUUCCGCUAUUUGUUCACUCUUGGAACAUGGAAGAUGUUUGAAUUAAUUUGGUUUAUAGUGCUAAUCACUUGUAAUACUUAUCAUGCAGUGCAUCGAGUGAAUAGCCAUUUUCUUUAUAUCAUUUAGGAUUUAUUUUAUGUUGAAUUUGUUGGAAAACAGUAACUUAAAGUAGCCAUCUUUUAUCAUUAGCAUGACUUGGGUUAUUAGUAUUUUUUUAGGAUUUGUACUCACUUUAUAGGUUUUCAUUGUUUAGUCCAAUCGAGUUAUUUGCCAUAUAUUAAUUUAGGUGUUGUUAUGAUUUACUUUUGAUAUAUUAUUGUUGUAUUAUUUUUCGGACACUAAUCCUUACUAUCAUUUUUGUUACAUGUGAUGCCAACUCGAGUUCAUCUUGGACUCCAUACUUCUUUCCCUUGCAUUUUUCGAGUCGAGCCGUAUAGGCUCCAUUUUCGUCGUUUGAAUCAGCAGUCCAUUGGAAUCAAUAAAUGAACAUGUUAAAGGCAGUACAAAGCUGGAAAUUGAAUUUUCAAGUCUCAAAAGCCCAAGAAAGGGGCACAAAAGCCUCAGAAAUUUCUAGCAGAUUUUGGGCGAAAAUGGGCCAAACCCAUUAUUUUGGACCUAAUAUUUAGACUUAGGCUAGGAAAAUAACUUGGGGCCCAUCAAAUUUGAGAAUUUGGGCAAGAUUGGCCCAAGUCCAAUAUUCUUUCCUUCACUCUUUAUUUAUUUGUUAUUAUGUUGACUAACAUUAUAUUCGACUUUGGUUUUGACUUAAUUAAUUCCUCAAGGAUAGCCAUCUCUUUUUCAUAUUCAAAUAUAUAUAUAUAUAUAUAU